RNAcentral lists this unclassified non-coding RNA (352 nucleotides) under soil metagenome. Its description in RNAcentral is "partial contains 5.8S ribosomal RNA, internal transcribed spacer 2, and large subunit ribosomal RNA". The stretch from base 2 to 120 matches the Rfam family "5.8S ribosomal RNA", at positions 36 to 154 of the family's 154-position model. The record is from RNAcentral.
CAUGAAGAACGUAGCGAAAUGCGAUAAGUAAUGUGAAUUGCAGAAUUCAGUGAAUCAUCGAAUCUUUGAACGCACAUUGCGCCCGCCAGUAUUCUGGCGGGCAUGCCUGUUCGAGCGUCAUUACAACCCUCAGGCCCCCGGGCCUGGCGUUGGGGAUCGGCGGAGCCCCCCGUGGGCACACGCCGUCCCCCAAAUGCAGUGGCGGUCCCGCCGCAGCUUCCAUCGCGUAGUAGCUAACACCUCGCGACUGGAGAGCGGCGCGGCCACGCCGUAAAACACCCAACUCUUCUGAAGUUGACCUCGAAUCAGGUAGGAAUACCCGCUGAACUUAAGCAUAUCAAUAAGCGGAGGA